This is a long non-coding RNA of Capsicum annuum, 1111 nucleotides long. RefSeq lists it as uncharacterized. The transcript has 2 exons. NCBI's taxonomy places the organism in Eukaryota, Viridiplantae, Streptophyta, Magnoliopsida, Solanales, Solanaceae. The record is from RefSeq and is a predicted model, not a curated record.
ACCUUUGGAUAUGUAAUUAAGCUAAUCUUUUCCAUUGCUAAUGGAGCAGAAGUAGAACUAUUACCAAUGGAUAAAUUCCGCUCAUUCUUCCUUUUCUAUGUCGUGCUUGCUAAUGAAGUAGAAGUAGAACUAUUCGUGACUGCUAGGCCGGCCGAAAUCUCCAUAGUAAACCAAUUGGGAUAGACGACAAUUUUCACGUAAAAACUCUAUAAUUUCUACUAUAUAUAAGUGAGGCUUUUUGUGUACUAUGAAGGGUACAAAUGUAAAUUCACACCAUUUACGUCUUUGCUGUCCAUUUGUGACUUUCUCAGACUCCAGGUGGACCAUUUAAAGGGUCUAUGGGCACCACAUGGGUUACUCCAUUUGUGAAAGUAAAAAUCCACAAAUGAAGCAAUUGAAAUCCAAGAAAACUUACCAGAAAAAUGUGCCCAGAUGUUCAGUUUACCAUCUCUUCUCUUGGAUUUCAAUCUAAGGAAUUGCCGUUAUCGCUAGAGUCUUGGACCACCAGGGUGAGCACACCUUGUGUUUUGAUCAGGGACUUCAAAUAUCGUGCACUCUCUCCAAAUCUAGGGUAUAUGUUAUGAUCAAUUGCAUUAAAGCUUUCACGAUGCGCAGCACCCGGGGAAGGGCCGACCGCAGGGUCAUAUAUAGAUAUUUCAUGUUUUUAAUUAACUUGAUAUAUUAGUUCUUUAAGUUUAAGAUUCCCCUCAAAGUUUCAUUCCUUACUUUUUAUGGGUAAUAAGUACUUUUGAAAGGGUAAGUGUGGAGAGAAACAAUAUAAAAAAUCAAACCCACACCUACUAUGUAGGUAACUCCCACUGUUACAUUAAAGCUGUAAGGCUCUGUGAUUGUAUCUUAUUAAGUUACAGAAUAUGAUAGUUUUAUACUAAGAAGCAAACCUUGACUAAGUAUCUCCUUGUCUCAAUGUUAGGAUAUGUCACACAUUGUUGAAACAACGGAAUAUAUUUCAUGAAGCUCAAGUGUCAAAAGUUUUUGUUGUUUGCAUGAAUUUGGAGUCGAAAAUGUACGAUUUUUUGGCUUUUUGCUGUCUAACAGAGCGAGACUCUGUCAUUUCUUUCAGCUCAAAUGGGAGACGGGCAUUGAGCAACCA